CUUAUCAAGAGUGGUGGAGGGACUGGCCCUAUGAAGCCCAGCAACCGAUAUAUUAGUUCAUUUACUAUAUAUAAUGGUGCUAAUUCCUGCAGUUAUUUUUUAUAACUGAUAGAUAAGA
RNAcentral lists this non-coding RNA (118 nucleotides) under Clostridium neonatale. RNAcentral describes it as "SAM riboswitch (S box leader)". It matches the Rfam family "SAM riboswitch aptamer (S box leader)". Rfam says of the family: The SAM riboswitch is found upstream of a number of genes which code for proteins involved in methionine or cysteine biosynthesis in Gram-positive bacteria. The SAM riboswitch acts at the level of transcription termination control. The predicted structure consists of a complex stem-loop region followed by a single stem loop terminator region. The record is from RNAcentral. Lineage: Bacteria; Bacillati; Bacillota; Clostridia; Eubacteriales; Clostridiaceae.